GACGAACGCUGGCGGCGUGCUUAACACAUGCAAGUCGAACGAUGAAGGAGAGCUUGCUCUCCGGAUUAGUGGCGAACGGGUGAGUAACACGUGACUAACCUGCCCCUUUCUCUGGGAUAACGCUCCGAAAGGAGUGCUAAUACCGGAUACGAACUCUGAACACAUGUUCGGAGUUGGAAAGUUAUUCGGAAAGAGAUGGAGUCGCGGCCUAUCAGCUUGUUGGUGAGGUAAUGGCUCACCAAGGCGACGACGGGUAGCGGGGCUGAGAGGGCGACCGGCCACACUGGGACUGAGACACGGCCCAGACUCCUACGGGAAGCAAGAGUGGGGAAGAUUGCACAAUGGGCGAAAGCCUGAUGCAGCGACGCCGCGUGAGGGAUGAAGGUCUUCGGAUUGUAAACCUCUUUCAGUAGGGACGAAGCGAAAGUGACGGUACCUAAAGAAGAAGCACCGGCUAACUACGUGCCAGCAGCCGCCGUAA
This 481-nucleotide ribosomal RNA is filed under the name uncultured bacterium. RNAcentral describes it as "partial 16S ribosomal RNA". It matches the Rfam family "Bacterial small subunit ribosomal RNA", at positions 28 to 523 of the family's 1533-position model. The record is from RNAcentral.